GCUAAUCGGGUAUCUAUAGCAUGCUCCGAACACCUUGGCCCAGUUUUUCACAAAUUAUCGCCUAUAAAACCCCGGGGUUAUUUUUAUUUUUUUCUUAGAGCAAGCUGGCUACUAACCUGGCCAUGGAAUCCCAUUAUCGUGAAGCUUGCGUCUCAGUUUGUCAUUCUCUCGCUUUCCCUGGAAUAUUUCCUCCUGGUAUUCUAAUAUGGUCUCUUCCACUUGCUUAUAUAUAUCUUGGGCAGCUAACAUCAACUUUUCUGUCAAAAAUACAUUUAGAAAUUGUAAUUUCGUCAUUUUGAGGGUCGAUGGUAGCCAGGGUACAUUUACCCGCUAAACACAAGCGGAGAGGAAAGAGGCGAAGCGGGAGGUUCGACUCCGCCUAGAUUUAUAGCGUUAAGCACACAACGUGUCAAAAGCGACAAUCAUCAUGACUCCAACCGUUGGUCAUCCGGGCCUGUUUCUGAAGCAGUUGAAAGGAUCGACCUUUAAAAGCUGGGGGAGCUUCAGCUCAAGGUGGCGCAUCUGACUAAACUCGUACAAGUAAGAAGUGCAACUGCAACAGCUCUACCGGGCCAAGAACCACAGAGGGAUGAGGAGGACAGUGAACCCAUACUGCCACAACUUACACUUAUUUUCGGAUCUGACCUAGCCACCCAAUUAAAUUGGUGCGGGAGAGGGCAUAAAGACGCGACAUGUGAAGGACAUCAUAGUGGUGUCAGUUCUUAGAAAUGCAGCUCUGUUAGAAAUGACAGAGGCUGAUGUAGAGAAACCUGUUAAAUUGGCUCCGGCUGAGCCAAGACAGAGCAAAAGGGGGGCGAAACAAGGCCCAGUGGACUAAUGGAAGAGAGCAGAACAAGAAAGUGAUUAAAGGCUGUCGGUUCAAGUCUGCCAGCAGACUUUUGUUGAAUCCCAAACUAACCCCUUGCCACCACCAACUUGUUCCAUUGGCAUGGAUGAAUAAACCCUUCAACUUCGGGACACACCCGUGACUUGAAUGAAUAUAAAAUGUAGCUCUACUAUGAUGAGACUGUGAUGCUGAUAUGAGCCAAACUUUAAAAUGAGACUUUUAAUUACAAAGAUAUAGGCUAGUCAUGUUAGACAAAUAUGUUAACCAACAUUAUCGGCUAGACUUUAUCAACAAGGCGCGGUUUGUUAAGAUCAAAUGAUCUCAAGAACCGAGAGAAAGGGCAGUGCCAAUUGGCAUAGUACAGAGGGGGGGGGGGGGGGGUUAGGACGAGUCUAAGGGCCUAUGACUGACAGGGG
Oncorhynchus gorbuscha (pink salmon) is the source of this 1263-nucleotide long non-coding RNA. RefSeq lists it as uncharacterized. The record is from RefSeq and is a predicted model, not a curated record. Lineage: Eukaryota; Metazoa; Chordata; Actinopteri; Salmoniformes; Salmonidae. The transcript is spliced from 6 exons.